RNAcentral lists this ribosomal RNA (222 nucleotides) under uncultured bacterium. RNAcentral's name for it is "partial 16S ribosomal RNA". It matches the Rfam family "Bacterial small subunit ribosomal RNA", at positions 109 to 334 of the family's 1533-position model. The record is from RNAcentral.
AGUAAUGUAUGGGGAUCCGCCCGAUAGAGGGGAAUAACUACUGGAAACGGUGGCUAAUACCGCAUAAUGUCUACGGACCAAAGCAGGGGCUCUUCGGACCUUGCACUAUCGGAUGAACCCAUAUGGGAUUAGCUAGUAGGUGGGGUAAAGGCUCACCUAGGCGACGAUCUCUAGCUGGUCUGAGAGGAUGAUCAGCCACACUGGGACUGAGACACGGCCCAG